Cephus cinctus (wheat stem sawfly) is the source of this 1371-nucleotide long non-coding RNA. RefSeq lists it as uncharacterized. Lineage: Eukaryota; Metazoa; Arthropoda; Insecta; Hymenoptera; Cephidae. The transcript is spliced from 2 exons. The record is from RefSeq and is a predicted model, not a curated record.
CUUCAAUAUGUCAAAUCACAUUUUACAAGUACUCAUCUGUAUAUUGUUAUUAAAUAUUGCAAUCCGAGAUAUCAUAUAUUUAUUAGUGCUCUUUUCUUAGUUCUGAAAUAUUUACAAUUGUAGAGUUUAGUAUUUACUAUUCCAUAUUCAUGAAAUUGUUAAUUAAGUGGAUGAUUAUAAAACAAGGUCGUGCAGCACUCUUAAGGUUAUAUGAUAAAUGCAGCAAACGAAUCACGAUGUGAUAAUUGUGUCAUCAGAAAUUUUGAAUCUCUUCUGAAUGCUAGGUAGAGUUUGAAGCAGUUAUUAUCUACAGAGAAGCAAAUACUGUGUAAUCUGUUCUCGGUUUUCUUAUUCAAAAGAAAUGGAUGCUCAAACAAUGGAUAAACAUGUAUCAACAAUUUUUCUUGAAAAAUAGACUGUUUUGGAUGCUUAAUGUGAAUGGAACGUACCUUUAUCUGUACAUAAAUACUGUUACCUCCAUCACAAUUGUAAAUAUAUAUUUAAUUUAUUCUAGUACUUAAAAGUAUACUUGGAUAGUUAUGUAUUUACAGUAUUUAUUAGUAAAAUAAUUUAUACAAGGAAAAACACCUCGAAACUCUUAUGUUGCGAUGAUAUUAGAUUUCUCCCUAAACACCUUGAAUUCUGGUCUUUUCUUUGCCAGAAGAGAUACCGGUGUCCAGACGUAAUUUGUACAAUCACCUAAACAGCAGUAGGAAGAGUACUACUAUUAAAAAAAAAUUUUAAAUUCUUUCAAUCUAAAUAGCUGGCUUAUGUUGGUAGAGAAUUCCAAUCAAUUUAAUGUAUAUGAAAUAGUAAAUACUAAACUGUACAAUUGUAAAUAUUUCAGAACUAAGAAAAGAGCACUAAUAAAUAUAUGAUAUCUCGGAUUGCAAUAUUUAAUAACAAUAUACAGAUGAGUACAUGUAAAAUGUGAUUUGACAUAUUGAAGUCUUCACGCAUGCGUGCUAGAUGCAGUUUAUGGAAUUCCGUAGAUAAAAUUUCUUUCAUUAUUUACGAUUAAAGAAUCAAUUAUUUCAUAUCAUCAAUGACAUAUAAAGUACCUACAAACGACUUACAAACGAUUGCAUAUGAGCAAAACACGAUUAGUUUAUAAAAUAUUUGAAUGAGGGGCUAACAUAAAGAAAAAUUCCCUAGAAAAUUAAUUGUUACGUCGCGGCCUAGUGGUAAAUAAUCUCAUUAGAAUUGAGCGGCGAAUUCAAAUGAGGGAUUAAAAUGGAAUCACGAUUUCUGUCUCUAAAUCAGAAGUCAAUACUUCGAUUUUCUCAGUCUGCCAUUAACGCAUAAAUAAAUAUUCUAAACAAUUCCGAGAAAGCUUUCUAGCCGCUACACGUGCAUAAACAUAUGGGCUAC